Molecule: ribosomal RNA, 253 nt
Filed under: uncultured bacterium
Lineage: Bacteria
Description: partial 16S ribosomal RNA
Rfam family: Bacterial small subunit ribosomal RNA
Source: RNAcentral
UACGGGGGGGGCAAGCGUUGUUCGGAAUUACUGGGCGUAAAGGGCUCGUAGGCGGCCAACUAAGUCAUACGUGAAAUCCCUCGGCUUAACCGGGGAACUGCGUCUGAUACUGGAUGGCUUGAGUUCGGGAGAGGGAUGCGGAAUUCCAGGUGUAGCGGUGAAAUGCGUAGAUAUCUCGAGGAACACCGGUGGCGAAGGCGGCAUCCUGGACCGAUACUGACGCUGAGGAGCGAAAGCCAGGGGAGCAAACGGG